This 299-nucleotide signal recognition particle RNA is filed under the name Aotus nancymaae (Ma's night monkey). RNAcentral describes it as "Metazoan signal recognition particle RNA (ENSANAG00000004763.1)". It matches the Rfam family "Metazoan signal recognition particle RNA". Rfam says of the family: The signal recognition particle (SRP) is a universally conserved ribonucleoprotein. It is involved in the co-translational targeting of proteins to membranes. The record is from RNAcentral. Lineage: Eukaryota; Metazoa; Chordata; Mammalia; Primates; Aotidae.
ACUGGGUGCAAUGGCAUGUGCCUGUAGUCCCAGCUACUCAGGAGGCUGAGGUGGGAGGAUCGUUUGAGCCCAGGAGUUCUGGACUGUAGUGUGCUAUACUGAUCGGGUGUCUGCACUAAGUUUGACAUCCAUCUGGUGACCUCCUGGGUGUGGGGGACCACCAGGUUGCCUAAGGAGGGGUGAACCAGCCCAGGUCAGAAACAGAGCAGGUCAAAACUCCCAUGCUGAUCAGUAAUGGGAUCGUGCCUGUGAAUAGCCACUGCAUUCCAACCUGGGCAACAUAGUGAGACCCCAUCUCA